RNAcentral lists this ribosomal RNA (2900 nucleotides) under Klebsiella pneumoniae. Its description in RNAcentral is "bacterial LSU rRNA". It matches the Rfam family "Bacterial large subunit ribosomal RNA". Lineage: Bacteria; Pseudomonadati; Pseudomonadota; Gammaproteobacteria; Enterobacterales; Enterobacteriaceae. The record is from RNAcentral.
UUAAGCGACUAAGCGUACACGGUGGAUGCCCUGGCAGUCAGAGGCGAUGAAGGACGUGCUAAUCUGCGAAAAGCGUCGGUAAGGUGAUAUGAACCGUUAUAACCGGCGAUGUCCGAAUGGGGAAACCCAGUGCAAUUCGUUGCACUAUCGUUAACUGAAUACAUAGGUUAACGAGGCGAACCGGGGGAACUGAAACAUCUAAGUACCCCGAGGAAAAGAAAUCAACCGAGAUUCCCCCAGUAGCGGCGAGCGAACGGGGAGCAGCCCAGAGUCUGAAUCAGCUUGUGUGUUAGUGGAACGGUCUGGAAAGUCCGACGGUACAGGGUGAUAGUCCCGUACACCAAAAUGCACAGGUUGUGAACUCGAAGAGUAGGGCGGGACACGUGGUAUCCUGUCUGAAUAUGGGGGGACCAUCCUCCAAGGCUAAAUACUCCUGACUGACCGAUAGUGAACCAGUACCGUGAGGGAAAGGCGAAAAGAACCCCGGCGAGGGGAGUGAAAAAGAACCUGAAACCGUGUACGUACAAGCAGUGGGAGCACCUUCGGGUGUGACUGCGUACCUUUUGUAUAAUGGGUCAGCGACUUAUAUUCUGUAGCAAGGUUAACCGUAUAGGGGAGCCGCAGGGAAACCGAGUCUUAACUGGGCGUUAAGUUGCAGGGUAUAGACCCGAAACCCGGUGAUCUAGCCAUGGGCAGGUUGAAGGUUGGGUAACACUAACUGGAGGACCGAACCGACUAAUGUUGAAAAAUUAGCGGAUGACUUGUGGCUGGGGGUGAAAGGCCAAUCAAACCGGGAGAUAGCUGGUUCUCCCCGAAAGCUAUUUAGGUAGCGCCUCGUGAACUCAUCUUCGGGGGUAGAGCACUGUUUCGGCUAGGGGGUCAUCCCGACUUACCAACCCGAUGCAAACUACGAAUACCGAAGAAUGUUAUCACGGGAGACACACGGCGGGUGCUAACGUCCGUCGUGAAGAGGGAAACAACCCAGACCGCCAGCUAAGGUCCCAAAGUCAUGGUUAAGUGGGAAACGAUGUGGGAAGGCACAGACAGCCAGGAUGUUGGCUUAGAAGCAGCCAUCAUUUAAAGAAAGCGUAAUAGCUCACUGGUCGAGUCGGCCUGCGCGGAAGAUGUAACGGGGCUAAACCAUGCACCGAAGCUGCGGCAGCGACACUAUGUGUUGUUGGGUAGGGGAGCGUUCUGUAAGCCUGCGAAGGUGUGCUGUGAGGCAUGCUGGAGGUAUCAGAAGUGCGAAUGCUGACAUAAGUAACGAUAAAGCGGGUGAAAAGCCCGCUCGCCGGAAGACCAAGGGUUCCUGUCCAACGUUAAUCGGGGCAGGGUGAGUCGACCCCUAAGGCGAGGCCGAAAGGCGUAGUCGAUGGGAAACAGGUUAAUAUUCCUGUACUUGGUGUUACUGCGAAGGGGGGACGGAGAAGGCUAUGUUAGCCGGGCGACGGUUGUCCCGGUUUAAGCAUGUAGGCUGGUUAUCCAGGCAAAUCCGGAUAAUCAAGGCUGAGGUGUGAUGACGAGGCACUACGGUGCUGAAGUAACAAAUGCCCUGCUUCCAGGAAAAGCCUCUAAGCAUCAGGUAACAUCAAAUCGUACCCCAAACCGACACAGGUGGUCAGGUAGAGAAUACCAAGGCGCUUGAGAGAACUCGGGUGAAGGAACUAGGCAAAAUGGUGCCGUAACUUCGGGAGAAGGCACGCUGGUGUGUAGGUGAAGUCCCUGCGGAUGGAGCUGAGACCAGUCGAAGAUACCAGCUGGCUGCAACUGUUUAUUAAAAACACAGCACUGUGCAAACACGAAAGUGGACGUAUACGGUGUGACGCCUGCCCGGUGCCGGAAGGUUAAUUGAUGGGGUUAUCCGUAAGGAGAAGCUCUUGAUCGAAGCCCCGGUAAACGGCGGCCGUAACUAUAACGGUCCUAAGGUAGCGAAAUUCCUUGUCGGGUAAGUUCCGACCUGCACGAAUGGCGUAAUGAUGGCCAGGCUGUCUCCACCCGAGACUCAGUGAAAUUGAACUCGCUGUGAAGAUGCAGUGUACCCGCGGCAAGACGGAAAGACCCCGUGAACCUUUACUAUAGCUUGACACUGAACAUUGAGCCUUGAUGUGUAGGAUAGGUGGGAGGCUUUGAAGCGUGGACGCCAGUCUGCGUGGAGCCAACCUUGAAAUACCACCCUUUAAUGUUUGAUGUUCUAACGUUGGCCCCUGACCGGGGUUGCGGACAGUGUCUGGUGGGUAGUUUGACUGGGGCGGUCUCCUCCCAAAGCGUAACGGAGGAGCACGAAGGUUAGCUAAUCCUGGUCGGACAUCAGGAGGUUAGUGCAAUGGCAUAAGCUAGCUUGACUGCGAGCGUGACGGCGCGAGCAGGUGCGAAAGCAGGUCAUAGUGAUCCGGUGGUUCUGAAUGGAAGGGCCAUCGCUCAACGGAUAAAAGGUACUCCGGGGAUAACAGGCUGAUACCGCCCAAGAGUUCAUAUCGACGGCGGUGUUUGGCACCUCGAUGUCGGCUCAUCACAUCCUGGGGCUGAAGUAGGUCCCAAGGGUAUGGCUGUUCGCCAUUUAAAGUGGUACGCGAGCUGGGUUUAGAACGUCGUGAGACAGUUCGGUCCCUAUCUGCCGUGGGCGCUGGAGAAUUGAGGGGGGCUGCUCCUAGUACGAGAGGACCGGAGUGGACGCAUCACUGGUGUUCGGGUUGUCAUGCCAAUGGCACUGCCCGGUAGCUAAAUGCGGAAGAGAUAAGUGCUGAAAGCAUCUAAGCACGAAACUUGCCCCGAGAUGAGUUCUCCCUGAGACUUUAAGUCUCCUGAAGGAACGUUAAAGACGAUGACGUUGAUAGGCCGGGUGUGUAAGCGCAGCGAUGCGUUGAGCUAACCGGUACUAAUGAACCGUGAGGCUUAACCUU